Coregonus clupeaformis (lake whitefish) is the source of this 1536-nucleotide long non-coding RNA. RefSeq lists it as uncharacterized. The record is from RefSeq and is a predicted model, not a curated record. Lineage: Eukaryota; Metazoa; Chordata; Actinopteri; Salmoniformes; Salmonidae. The transcript is spliced from 4 exons.
GAUAAUUUCUUACCAAACUGGACACUAUAUGGGCUAAAAUGGCAUAGGAAUAGACAUCCCCGUAUGUAGAGUGUUUCAUUCUAUUGGAUUCCGACUCACUGCAGAUAUUAUAUUGUUGUAGCCCUAAUCUGUAGCCAAACGCUCGGAUGGCGCCUACAGGCUACGUUUCUGGUUACCGAGGGAACGCAGAUGGUAGAGGAGACUGACGGGCAUUCAUUCUGUCAUCAGUUUGCAUUACAAUAGAACGUACUCGUAGACCUGUGGCAGCUGGAGUCCGUAGCCUACACGCGCUCGCAUACAAAAUACAGACAUCUGCGGGUUAAUUCCUCGUGCCAUCCAAACACUCCUUUGUCCAGGCUUCAGUCUUGUUAUUUACUCUCCAUUAUUAACCGCCCAUCAGAGGCAGCUGCUCCGCACUCACCCGACCUCUCUGCUCAAACUGACGCACUCCACGGAAGAUCAGAGUUGGACACAGUUGGAGCGCUUCAUGGCGCCACCCUUGCUGACACAGAUGCUGUGAGACUGGUGCAUUUUGGACCGAUGGUCAAACUUGCGUCAAUGCAAAAGUGGCCAAACCCACAGCCCAGCUGGCAGGAUGCAUAUCCCCAUGACAACUGGGAUUCCCUGGGGUCCCUGAUGGACUACAGGAGUAGGGAGACAGGUAUGCGUCCAGUAUAUCCACACAUAUUGAGGGAGGGGUUCUUCUAAAGGCAGAGAAUUAACCACUGCCAUUGGUGGUAAUGAUGCCUUGUAGGCUCCAUUCCUCCAUGAAAUUUGUAUUGACUAUUGUUUGUAUUAGGGUACCUACCGUAGCAAGGUAUUCAUUUAAAUUAGGUUAGUUUAAGGUAAAACAUUUCAAAUUAGAUGAAAAAGGUUAAUCAGGUCAGUUAGUAACGGUUCCUAAUCGCCUAUGAUUCUGGGAACUUUAUUAACCCUUCCCUCCUGCAUCCCAUGGUAUCUUUUGUCAGUAGUCAAGUCCAAUGGUCCAGCCUCUCCUUGGUAGGGUUUUGGGGACAGGUGUUCCAGGGGGUUGCGUUCCACUUUCUGCUGCUCGCUGCUCUGUGUUUCUCUCCAGAUAUGCUGAGGAGGAUGGUGGGACGGUGCCAGCCCUCAGAGCCCAUUUAGAUGAGUCAACAACAUGACCUGACUGACUGACAGGGCUGUAUACAAAGCUGUUUUCUAAACAGUUGUCAACGCGGUUCAUCCUUACCGAACUGGAACUGGGACGGGAACUGGGACCUAUGGCUUUCACCCACUGACAAAUGAACAUUACUACAAGGCUACUGACGGAGCACACUUCUUUUGCUAUCGAUUUGUGUUAGAUGGAGACCUUGCAGUGAUUAUUAUUGUUAUUAUUAUUAUUUGGAUGUACCAUUGGCACAUUGCUGGCCCCUUUAAUUGUAGUAUAUUUUAUGCCAUGUCGUUCAGGCCUUUGUUUGAUAGGACCACAUUUCAUGCCAUAACCUCUUAAGGAUCUUACCCUUUUUUUUAAAUUUUCGCCUAAAAUGACAUACCCCAAUCUAACUGCCUGUAGCU